UACGUAGGGUGCAAGCGUUAAUCGGAAUUACUGGGCGUAAAGCGUGCGCAGGCGGUUUUUGUAAGUCUGUCGUGAAAUCCCCGGGCUCAACCUGGGAAUGGCGAUGGAGACUGCAAGGCUAGAAUCUGGCAGAGGGGGGUAGAAUUCCACGUGUAGCAGUGAAAUGCGUAGAGAUGUGGAGGAACACCGAUGGCGAAGGCAGCCCCCUGGGGUCAAGAUUGACGCUCAUGCACGAAAGCGUGGGGAGCAAACAGG
This 255-nucleotide ribosomal RNA is filed under the name uncultured bacterium. RNAcentral describes it as "partial 16S ribosomal RNA". It matches the Rfam family "Bacterial small subunit ribosomal RNA", at positions 524 to 776 of the family's 1533-position model. The record is from RNAcentral.